AUGGCGGCUUUGGCUGUGGGUCUAUCACUGUGUAACUAUGCUGAAGCUAACUUCGGCGAGGGCACCAGGCUUACAGUGCUAGAGGAUGGAUUCAAUAUCACCGCCCCCAAAGUGGCCAUCUUUCCCCCGUCAAAGCAGGAGAUCAAAGAGAAGAGGAAGGCCACCCUGGUGUGCCUGGUCACAGAUUUCUACCCUGACCACAUCAAGCUGGUUUGGCGGGUGAACGAUGUUGAGAGGAAAGAGGGGGUGAGGACAGAUGAAUCUAUCAUGGACAAAACAUCAAAAUCAUACUCGCUGACCAGCCGCCUGAGGAUCUCACACCAGGAAUUUUCCAACUCCAAGAAUAGAUUCCAGUGCUUUGUUGAGUUCUACGGGAAUAACACGCAAAGAUAUGAUGAAGUCAUCCAUGGUGCAGCUGGUUGCAGUGUCUCAGAAGAGUCAUAUCUGAGAAGUGCCAUGGCAGGCAAGAGUGUGUAUGUUCUGCUCAUUUUCAAGAGUGCCUUGUAUGGGGUCUUUGUGAUGGGGCUAAUGCUAAGGAACAAGAAAGUGCAGUAGAAGAAGCUGGCCUGAGGCGGAUGGCACAGCUGCCUGGCGAAAGAAGGAGCUGCAGCUGCAUUCGUUUUACAAGUCCUGAUUUGUUUCAGAAAUCAGCACAGCACUUAGGCUUUUGUUACAAUAAAUGUACAAAGACCGCAAUUUGGGGUUGUCUGGCUGUAUUUGCUUGUUUGAAACAGCAGCUUUUAAUAAACAUUUAUGGAAUCCUUAA
Molecule: non-coding RNA, 766 nt
Organism: Caretta caretta (loggerhead turtle)
Lineage: Eukaryota; Metazoa; Chordata; Testudines; Cheloniidae
Source: the annotation of a RefSeq genome assembly